Molecule: ribosomal RNA, 207 nt
Filed under: uncultured bacterium
Lineage: Bacteria
Description: partial 16S ribosomal RNA
Rfam family: Bacterial small subunit ribosomal RNA
Source: RNAcentral
CGCGCAGGCGGCCUGUCAAGUCAGAUGUGAAAGCCCGGGGCUCAACCCCGGAAGUGCAUUUGAUACUGUAGGGCUUGAGUAUGGGAGAGGGAAGUGGAAUUCCUGGUGUAGAGGUGAAAUUCGUAGAUAUCAGGAGGAACACCGGUGGCGAAGGCGACUUCCUGGACCAAUACUGACGCUGAGGCGCGAAGGCGUGGGGAGCAAACA